Long non-coding RNA from Leopardus geoffroyi (Geoffroy's cat), 160 nucleotides. RefSeq lists it as uncharacterized. The record is from RefSeq and is a predicted model, not a curated record. The transcript is spliced from 3 exons. NCBI's taxonomy places the organism in Eukaryota, Metazoa, Chordata, Mammalia, Carnivora, Felidae.
AUUACUUUCAGCUCACUCAAACUACAAGAACUUGUGCAUCAGCAUCGCUGCUUUCUCCAUCACUCUCAAUCUGUCUAUUCUCUAUUCAAAAUAAUCCUUUAAAAUAUAAUCAAACCUGGGGCGCCUGGGUGGCGCAGUCGGUUAAGCGUCCGACUUCAGC